GAUGAACGCUGGCGGCGUGCCUAAUACAUGCAAGUCGAGCGAACGGACUAGAAGCUUGCUUCUCUGAUGUUAGCGGCGGGCGGGUGAGUAACACGUGGAUAACCUACCUAUAAGACUGGGAUAACUUCGGGAAACCGUAGCUAAUACCGGAUAAUAUUUUGAACCGCAUGGUUCAAAAGUGAAAGACGGUCUUGCUGUCACUUAUAGAUGGAUCCGCGCUGCAUUAGCUAGUUGGUAAGGUAACGGCUUACCAAGGCAACGAUGCAUAGCCGACCUGAGAGGGUGAUCGGCCACACUGGAACUGAGACACGGUCCAGACUCCUACGGGAGGCAGCAGUAGGGAAUCUUCCGCAAUGGGCGAAAGCCUGACGGAGCAACGCCGCGUGAGUGAUGAAGGUCUUCGGAUCGUAAAACUCUGUUAUUAGGGAAGAACAUAUGUGUAAGUAACUGUGCACAUCUUGACGGUACCUAAUCAGAAAGCCACGGCUAACUACGUG
RNAcentral lists this ribosomal RNA (497 nucleotides) under uncultured bacterium. RNAcentral's name for it is "partial 16S ribosomal RNA". It matches the Rfam family "Bacterial small subunit ribosomal RNA", at positions 28 to 507 of the family's 1533-position model. The record is from RNAcentral.